CAUUUUUUUCCAGGAAACUGACUGUGGAUUUUGACGUGCGGCUGCUUGCUUUGUCUUGAUGCAGUUCUACUAAUUGAUGGCACUGUGGAUUUGUGCCAUAUGGGGAGAAAACGCACACCAAGAAACGUGACUGCAAUAUGGAUUAUGCAUUCAACAUCUUCUCGAGCAUGACUGAAGAACAACUGAUGACUUUACUUCAGCAAGAAUAGUAUGAAGCAGAUUCCUCCCGCAAGUUUACAAGCGAAUAAACGUUUUGAACUGUUUACGACUGCAGUCCGCACUAGCUGUGAAAUAAAAAGGAACACUGUUUAUUGAAAAUUCGCCAACCUUAUUAAAAUAUUAUUAUAAUUGAAUUAAUACAAUGUAAAUAUAUUUUCAUGAUGUAGAAACAGUUGCAUCAGUAAUUAAAAUAAGAUUUAUGUUGAAUAAUGGCAUAAAAUAUUUUAGCAUAAUAAACUUUUAAACUCUUCCCCCUGACCCAGAAGUUGUAUUGUUUUGAAAGGAAAGGUAAUUUUUUACUUAGAAAGAAUAUUUUCCGAAUAUAAUAAUUUGGAAUUCUGAAAGAGGAGUUAAUAGCAAUCUUAAAUUCAUAACAAGCGAUAAGAAUUUUUUUUUAGAUGUUUUGAUAAAAUCCAUAGCAAAAUGCAUAUAUCAAACACUUCCGCAAGCAUUCUUUGUUUUUGCUAUUUUAAUAUGUUUGUGUUUUAAAUUUAUACAAUUCCAUUUUUAAAGAACAUCUGGAAUUUCAAAACUAACACCAGAUUAAUAGCGAUUUUCCAAAUGUAGUCAUAAUUAUUUUUGAAAUUUUCAUUCAAAAGUUAUAAUUAUAUGUCAUAAAGUAUUAAAACAAUGUGUUUUGAGUAGAUCUCAACUAAAAUAAGGCAAAUGUGCUGUUUAGAAAUUUAGCAGUGUUUAUAUAUGAUUGUGCUUCAUAUUUUUUUAUAUUAUCAUGCAUUGCAAUGAAAUUACAUGAAAUUUAACCAGAGAUUAUGGUUUAUAAAUAAAAUAAUAGCAGUAUUCUUUAGCUUUUGGUUAAACAAAUACAAACUUAUUUAUUAUUAGAAUAUGGCCGUGGAAAUAAUUAAUUCUACUAAAUAAUUGUUCAGAACAAAUUAUCUGCUUUUAGCAUAAUUUAUAAACCCCAAAUCUUUUUAUGCAUAGUUAUUAAAUCUCACAAGAGGAGAAAAACCAAACAAGAGAAAUGCAUCAACCUCUUUUUUUUUUUUUUUUUUUUUUUUUUUUUUUUUUUUUACAAUUAGCGGGGAAAAUAUUCAUGUAGACAACAAUAAAUAACUAAAUAAUUACGCGAUUUGUUACUCUUUAAUAGUGUAAAAAGGCUGUGCUAUAACAGAUUUCGAACAAUUUCUCCACUGCGCGGUUUACAUCUGUAGUAAAAUUUUACAAGACUGUCAUUCGUACAAUGUAAAUAGUUGUUUUUGAAUGGUUGGCCCGGAGAGCACAGGGUAUUGUAAUGUAAUAAUUUAAUGAUGUGAAUAUGUGUACUGCCGGAACUGCUGUGUUAUGCAAUAAAUAAUUCCUCAAAUACA
This 1547-nucleotide long non-coding RNA is filed under the name Stegodyphus dumicola. RNAcentral describes it as "uncharacterized LOC118203297". The record is from RNAcentral. Lineage: Eukaryota; Metazoa; Arthropoda; Arachnida; Araneae; Eresidae.